UACGUAGGGGGCAAGCGUUGUCCGGAUUUACUGGGCGUAAAGGGCGCGUAGGCGGCGUGUUAAGUCACUUGUGAAAUCUCUGAGCUUAACUCAGAACGGUCAAGUGAUACUGAUGUGCUAGAGUGCAGAAGGGGCAACCGGAAUUCUUGGUGUAGCGGUGAAAUGCGUAGAUAUCAAGAGGAACACCUGAGGUGAAGACGGGUUGCUGGGCUGACACUGACGCUGAGGCGCGAAAGCUAGGGUAGCAAACGGG
RNAcentral lists this ribosomal RNA (253 nucleotides) under uncultured bacterium. RNAcentral describes it as "partial 16S ribosomal RNA". It matches the Rfam family "Bacterial small subunit ribosomal RNA", at positions 524 to 776 of the family's 1533-position model. The record is from RNAcentral.